CUCCUUUACAUUGUUUCCCGAUCGAAAUGUAGGACCAGAGUCAGAUCACACCAGCUCGUUUUAAUCUUAAAUGGAUAUUGCAUGUAAUGUCAACCCUUACAGUAACCCGAAACAACGCUAAUUAAACGGGAUAUGCACCGAGGGCUCAACUGGCGGCGCAUUGGAUGUAGGAAGCGGUCGUAUUUCCCCCCUGCUGCAGAAGGUAGAGGUUACAAAUCUGUGGGAACGUCUCAGAGGAAAGAGGGGGCGGGAGGAAAGGGAAGGGGUACGGGAGAAAGGCAGGCAGCUAGGGUGUUUCCUUAACUUCAAGGAAGAGUUUAAUCAAGUUAAUAGCUUAUUGUGGGCUAUUAAAACGAUACACCACUGGGAAACCGUACGUUAUCAAAUUUUAAAAGACACAAACAACUGAAGGAGACCGCGAUGUUGGGAAUAGGAAAACUGCACCACGGUCUGGAAUAGGGUGAAGGAUGGAGGGAGAGACGGAGAAAGAGACAGCGGAGGAGAAGGAGAGUGAUGAGACACAGCCGUUUGCUGGGGAAGGGGCAGGGCGACUUCAUCAGAAUGGAGAGUCCUCCGAGGACGACCAGGACCUACCCAUCAUGCACUGGGAAGACCUGAGCCUGAGGAUCGCUGAACUGGAGAAACAGGAGGAGGCGAGGAGAGAAAGGGCAAAGAGUACGAGUGGGUCGGAACAGGGGAGUGUGUCAGGGGGCUGGGCGGAAGAGAGGCAGGGUGGGCUGUGGAGGAAAGAUGAAUGGGAGGAUGAGGAGGACUACGGAAGAUGUCGAGUCACGGUCGUCUCGUCUAGAUUCCACAACCAAAGAAAUCUACAGUUAUGCUACAUCAACAACAGUGAGAGUGAGGAUGAAGAGGGGGCUGUCAAAGAGGGUUCUAUAGGACCAGGUAGCUAUGGUUACCACCCCUCUGGCCUGAAGUUGGAAGUGAGGGCCGCACUGAGCGCGCUCAAAAACAAGCUGUUAGCUGAACAGAAAGAGGAGCACCUUGCCUGCAGUAGUGUGAUCACUAAGAGGACGCAUCUGGAACACUGUGACCUGCAGACCUGCUCAAUACAGCAGCUCAACUCCCUCAGGACCUCACUCAACCACGACAUACACGACCUGAGCUCAGAGUUGGUGGGUCACCUGUUGAUAAGGGACCAGCUGAGAACCAAACAGGACGCCAUGCUCCUGGACGUACAGGAUCUGACAUAACCCUCACCCACAUGUGCACAGGACAGGAAGUCAUUGUGCUCAACAGUGGAUAAAGUGAUGCUGUCCAAGAUAUGCCACUAUGAGACAGUCAGAAGUGUUGCAAUAAUAUCCUACUUAACAUAUGAUUCUUUGAUAAAAAGGAGAAAUAUUGAUGAUGAACACUAAUGAGCACCAUCUUGGACCGGCGUCAUAAUGCAAUCCACAUUACACAGGCAGGGUAUGGAUGCUCAGCUAUGAAAAGCCAACUGACAUUUACUCCUGAGGUACUGACCUGUUGCACCCUCUACAACCACUGUGAUUAUUAUUAUUUGACCCUGCUGGUCAUCUAUGAAUGUUUGAACAUCUUGAAGAACAAUCUGGCCUUAAUGGCCAUGUACUGUUAUAAUCUCCACCUGGCACAGCCAGAAGAGGACUGGCCACCCCUCAGAGCCUGGUUCCUCUCUAGGUUUCUUCCUAGGUUCCUGCCUUUCUAUGGAGUUUUUCCUGGCCACUGUGCUUCUACACCUGCAUUGCUUGCUGUUUGGGGUUUUAGGCUGUGUUUCUGUAUAGCACUUUGUAACAUCUACUGAUGUAAAAAGGGCUUUAUAAAUACAAUUGAUGGAUAACUUUCUCCUCAUCAUCCCCACCUGAUCUUGAACAGCAUAAUCUUCAUUAUCAUCAUUAGUGGAGAGAGUACUGUAUUAGGACCUAUUUUGAUGUACGCAUGCACUUAAUUAACAAAAAAGAUUUCAUAUCAGAAAGAGGAGUUUAAGCCAUUUGUGAUGUUUGAAACAUCUCUAAUAUCUGACUCCUAGUCUAUUGCCGGUGGUAAGAAAAAUUGUAUUUAUCUUGGGAGAACCUUCAGACGGAGAAUCUUCACAGCCAUAGUUAAAACAUUUACAUAUCUGAGGAAUACCAGCUUUUCCACAAGUUUUAUUGUGUAAACAUUGCAAUAUCCAUGACUUAUUAAUAUAAGGGAAUUGUACACUUACAGCCUGUGUAAAACAAGCUAAGGGGUUUCAUAUUCAGGCUAAAGGGAACUGUCCUGUAACAAUUUGGUAGAGAAGGUUCUUUGUUUCUAAUUUAGGAUAAUUAUCCUCUUGUAUAGUUGCUGAUGUAAGAGAAUUGUCCACUUAUAUUGCCUAUAAGCCUGUGGGUAUUGACAUUUAUGUUGACUCUUGUGAUAUACCUAGGUGGUUUGCGGCCAUAACUAUAACUACCACCAGCAUAGGAAACCACAAAGCUGCUAUUGGGUGAUUCCAUGUGAGCAAAGCCCAAAAAUAAUUUUGUAUCGCAGAUUGUUCUGGCAAUUAUCACAUAGAAACGUCAUUGGGAAGAUGGAUGUUUGAUAGGCUUUUUACAUUUGUAACACACCAUUUUUUGGAAAAUGAUUAAAGUGGGCUCUCUGCUACUUUUAGUUAUAAACAAUUUUAUGAGCAUCAUCAACACAGUGAAUAGAAAAAUGGAUUCAAAUGGAACUUUGAUAGGUCCUUCCUUAACCAAUAUCAAUUUCUAUGUAUUCUUCAAAAUUAGCAGAGCCCACCUUCGAAAUAUGUGUUUGAAGAGUAUAUUGUUCUAAACAAGAUGUCUAAAAAUAAUCAAAAUCAAAAAGGGUACUUUUGAGAUGUUCAUAAUGUUUUUAAUAUUGAAUAAAUUAAUGCGAUUUUUUUUUUUUUACAUUUUUUUUUUUAGAAUACAGCCAUACUCCAUAUUUUAAAGCAUACUAUAAGGAGUAUAAUGACACCAAGAUGUCUGUACGGUUCACGGAUUAUAUGGUCUAAAAGAGCCUAAAAUGGCCACAUUCAUCAUGAUUUUCCCCAAAAAUUGUUUGUGAUACAAAUGUAUCAAGCAUGUUAAACAUCCUUCCUCUCAAUUAAGUUUGUAUGUGAGAAUUGCCAGAGAAAUCUGAGAUACCCUAAAAAAAAAUUGGGCCAUGCUGGCGUGGAAUUGCCUUAUUCCAUUCAUUAUGUCUAGGAAAAACUCCUGGCCAUUUGAACUAUUGUGCCUUGUCAAGCAAUUAUUAUAUAUCGUACUUUCACAAUCGUGUGUAUUUGUAGGUUGAUGGAAGAAUUAACUGUGAUAGCAGAUUCAUAGCUAUGGGAAAGGGAUGAGUGCUCUGAAGUAACAUUUAACUUUUUUGGUCUCUGAAGUAUUUUUUUCAGUAUUUACUUAAAAAAUAAUUUUGCAUUCAAUAAACCUUAGUUAUUUCAUGUUGUGUGCUGUCACUGUGUGUGUGUGUCUGUGAUGCUGCUAUUUCAAAUCAAAGUUUAUUUGUCACGUGAGCAGUGAAAUGCUUACUUACAGGCUCUAACCAAUAGUGCAAAAAAUGUGUUAGGUGAACAAUAGGUAAGUAAAGAAAUAAAACAACAGU
RNAcentral lists this long non-coding RNA (3561 nucleotides) under Salmo salar (Atlantic salmon). RNAcentral's name for it is "lncRNA (ENSSSAG00000040448.2)". Lineage: Eukaryota; Metazoa; Chordata; Actinopteri; Salmoniformes; Salmonidae. The record is from RNAcentral.